AGCGAACGCUGGCGGCAGGCUUAACACAUGCAAGUCGAGCGGACCUUUCGGGGUCAGCGGCGGACGGGUGAGUAACGCGUGGGAACGUGCCUUCCGGUUCGGAAUAACCCUGGGAAACUAGGGCUAAUACCGGAUACGCCCUUAUGGGGAAAGGUUUACUGCCGGAAGAUCGGCCCGCGUCUGAUUAGCUAGUUGGUGGGGUAACGGCCUACCAAGGCGACGAUCAGUAGCUGGUCUGAGAGGAUGAUCAGCCACACUGGGACUGAGACACGGCCCAGACUCCUACGGGAGGCAGCAGUGGGGAAUAUUGGACAAUGGGCGCAAGCCUGAUCCAGCCAUGCCGCGUGAGUGAUGAAGGCCUUAGGGUUGCAAAGCUCUUUUAUCCGGGACGAUAAUGACGGUACCGGAGGAAUAAGCCCCGGCUAACUUCGUG
This 433-nucleotide ribosomal RNA is filed under the name uncultured bacterium. RNAcentral describes it as "partial 16S ribosomal RNA". It matches the Rfam family "Bacterial small subunit ribosomal RNA", at positions 29 to 507 of the family's 1533-position model. The record is from RNAcentral.